UAGAAGAACCAACAGGGAUUGCCUUAGUAACGGCGAGUGAACAGGUAAGAGCUCAGAUUUGAAAGCGCACUUGUGCCGUUGUAUUCUGAAGUUAGGAUUCUCGAAAACGACACCUAAGUUUUCUGGAAAGGAAUGCCACAGAGGGUGAUAGCCCCGUACGGUGUUGACUCGAUACAGAGUCCUAACAUGGAGUCGAGUUGUUUGGGAAUGCAGCUCAAAUGGGUGGUAUGCUCCAUCUAAGGCUAAAUAUUUGCGAGAGACCGAUAGCGAACAAGUACUGUGAAGGAAAGAUGAAAAGAACUUUGAAAAGAGAGUGAAAUAGUACGUGAAAUUGUUGAAAUGGAAGGGUAGGCCGCUAACCAUGUAGGACCGUGUUUGGGGGGAAGAUAAAUGCUGUAGAAUGUGGCUCCUCGGAGUGUUAUAGCUACAGUUCAUGUCCCAUCCGAGCGCGAGGUCUCAGUCCACUAA
Molecule: ribosomal RNA, 468 nt
Filed under: Starmerella davenportii
Lineage: Eukaryota; Fungi; Ascomycota; Dipodascomycetes; Dipodascales; Trichomonascaceae
Description: partial large subunit ribosomal RNA
Rfam family: Eukaryotic large subunit ribosomal RNA
Source: RNAcentral